GUCUCAGUUCGGAUUGCACUCUGCAACUCGGGUGCAUGAAGGUGGAAUCGCUAGUAAUCGUGGAUCAGCAUGCCACGGUGAAUACGUUCCCGGGCCUUGUACACACCGCCCGUCACACCAUGGGAUUUGGUUUGACCUUAAGUUGGUGCGCUAACCGCAAGGAGGCAGCCAACCACGGUCGGGUUAGAGACUGGGGUGAAGUCGUAACAAGGUAGCCGUAA
This 221-nucleotide ribosomal RNA is filed under the name uncultured bacterium. RNAcentral's name for it is "partial 16S ribosomal RNA". It matches the Rfam family "Bacterial small subunit ribosomal RNA", at positions 1285 to 1505 of the family's 1533-position model. The record is from RNAcentral.